Long non-coding RNA from Humulus lupulus (European hop), 1043 nucleotides. RefSeq lists it as uncharacterized. The transcript has 2 exons. The record is from RefSeq and is a predicted model, not a curated record. Lineage: Eukaryota; Viridiplantae; Streptophyta; Magnoliopsida; Rosales; Cannabaceae.
UUAAAAGUGAAGGUGGGUAACUAGGCCUUGACUGGGUCCACUAGUGCUCUUAUUUCUCUCAUCUCUUCCUACCUAUGGUCUCUCCCUCUACCACUCGAGCUCCUAUCUUUGACCACCCACCCUCACCCUCAUGAACGCUGAUUGGCCUCAAGGAACAUUUACCAUUAGUCACCAGUGCUCCAACCUCAUGAAUGUAGAACCAUCAUAAAGACCGUCGCAUUUGAAUUUUGAUGCAGGAUCGAUGUUGGCACCAAAGGUAUGUACAUCGAAGCUUCUAGUAUCUGUCAAUGAUCACUUCAUAGGUCAUGUGACCAUAAAGGUUUGACCAAAUUGGAGUAUUUCAAGAUGAAGCUUUAAUGGUAUGGAUUGUUGAAAAGAGCCAAGGAAUUGGUCUUCAAACAAUUUUUCAACACACCCAAGCUUCAGUUAUCUUGGGCGAUUGUACAUGCAUUACUACUCCAUAGGAUCUUGGCUUUGCGUGAUGAUAAAUUGUACUUCUAUUUGGGCAACACAUGUUGUAGAUAUAGGGUCAACAAGUCCACAUUGGUCACUAACCUCAACUUCAGUCGACUUCCAUCAAAAGAGAGAGUUAAAGGAGCAUUUGAGCUCCCCUCGCCUUAUCAAUACAUACUUCAACGAGGAAAAAAAAGACUAUUAUACAUCAUCAAUUGGAAAAUCUUUCAAGCAUAGCGAUACGAAAGAGAAUAUUUGGAAGCUUGGUCUUGUUGUUUGGUAGAUGGGUUAGUGUUUGCCACUGAGUGUACUAUUUGGAGAAGCUUGCUUUUGAUGCUGGAGAACUUGGAUUACUUCACAAAGUUUCCACAAAGCACUUUGUCUUUUGAUAGGACAAUAUGAGGGUUAGGCAAGGAUAUGAAAGUUCCAACUUGAGAAACUGAACUCCAGGGGUUAACUUUUCCUGAGUUUGGGUUCAAGUAAAACCCACAUGUACAUGUGGUUUUCAGAUAGCCAGGAAUGUGAAACAUUCCAAAAUUAUUGUCAUUUAAAAAAUAAUAAUAAAAAAUCUUAAACCAAUAGCUUUUUUA